UACGUAGGGUCCGAGCGUUGUCCGGAAUUACUGGGCGUAAAGAGCUCGUAGGUGGUUUGUCGCGUUGUUCGUGAAAACUCACAGCUCAACUGUGGGCGUGCGGGCGAUACGGGCAGACUUGAGUACUGCAGGGGAGACUGGAAUUCCUGGUGUAGCGGUGGAAUGCGUAGAUAUCUGGAGGAACACCGGUGGCGAAGGCGGCAUCCUGGACCAUUACUGACACUGAAAAGCGGAAGCCAGGGGAGCAAACGGG
RNAcentral lists this ribosomal RNA (253 nucleotides) under uncultured bacterium. RNAcentral describes it as "partial 16S ribosomal RNA". It matches the Rfam family "Bacterial small subunit ribosomal RNA", at positions 524 to 776 of the family's 1533-position model. The record is from RNAcentral.